UAAGUAUCAGUUUUAGACAAUAUGACCUUGUCAAGGUCAAGACACAUUACUUAA
RNAcentral lists this transfer RNA (54 nucleotides) under Histiostoma blomquisti. Its description in RNAcentral is "tRNA-Asp". The record is from RNAcentral. Lineage: Eukaryota; Metazoa; Arthropoda; Arachnida; Sarcoptiformes; Histiostomatidae.